This is a long non-coding RNA of Octopus sinensis (East Asian common octopus), 194 nucleotides long. RefSeq lists it as uncharacterized. Lineage: Eukaryota; Metazoa; Mollusca; Cephalopoda; Octopoda; Octopodidae. The transcript has 2 exons. The record is from RefSeq and is a predicted model, not a curated record.
CUUCCGAUUUGCAGUCUUGAAAUGUAUUCAUCCCAAGAAAACCAAGAAGAUGCACUCAAGUGAGAAGUUCAGGAGACCACGUACUCUUCGAUUGCCGAGUAACCCAAAAUAUCCCAGCAAAAGCACUGGCACACGUGAAGAUAAAUUUGAUCAAUUUAGGAUUGUUAAAUAUCCUUUGACAACAGGAUCUGCUA